CUAGCUCAGGAUGAACGCUCGCUGUGUGCCUAAUACAUGCAUGUUGAACGGGAUGUAGCAAUACAUUCAGUAGCGAAUGGGUGAGUAACACGUACCUAACCUACCUUUAAGACUGGGAUAACUAUUGGAAACAAUAGCUAAUACCGGAUAUAGUUAUUUAUCGCAUGAUGAGUAAUAGAAAGGAGCUUCACAGCUUCACUUAAAAAUGGGGGUGCGGAACAUUAGUUAGUUGGUAGGGUAAUGGCCUACCAAGACGAUGAUGUUUAGCUGGGCCGAGAGGCUGUACGGCCACACUGGGACUGAGACACGGCCCAGACUCCUACGGGAGGCAGCAGUAAGGAAUUUUCCACAAUGAGCGAAAGCUUG
This 366-nucleotide ribosomal RNA is filed under the name Bacillus thuringiensis. RNAcentral describes it as "bacterial SSU rRNA". It matches the Rfam family "Bacterial small subunit ribosomal RNA", at positions 19 to 385 of the family's 1533-position model. The record is from RNAcentral. Lineage: Bacteria; Bacillati; Bacillota; Bacilli; Caryophanales; Bacillaceae.